GCCCUUGUAGCUUAAACACUUAAAGCAUUGGUCUUGUAAACCAAAAAUGGACACUAAAUGCCCCAAGGACA
Molecule: transfer RNA, 71 nt
Filed under: Cophosaurus texanus
Lineage: Eukaryota; Metazoa; Chordata; Lepidosauria; Squamata; Phrynosomatidae
Description: tRNA-Thr
Rfam family: tRNA
About the family: Transfer RNA (tRNA) molecules are approximately 80 nucleotides in length. Their secondary structure includes four short double-helical elements and three loops (D, anti-codon, and T loops).
Source: RNAcentral